UGGGCAUGUGUUACAGUAGACUCUGUUAGGG
RNAcentral lists this non-coding RNA (31 nucleotides) under Homo sapiens (human). Lineage: Eukaryota; Metazoa; Chordata; Mammalia; Primates; Hominidae. The record is from RNAcentral.